UCUCCGUUGGUGAACCAGCGGAGGGAUCAUUACAGAGUUGCGAAACUCCCUAAACCAUUUGUGAACCUACCCCCAAAACAGUUGCUUCGGCGGCGCCCUAGCCGGCCCGCCGGAGACCGCCAAACGCUUUGUUUUUACACUGGCCUCUCUGAGUAAAACAAACAAAUAAAUCAAAACUUUCAACAACGGAUCUCUUGGUUCUG
This 203-nucleotide unclassified non-coding RNA is filed under the name root metagenome. Its description in RNAcentral is "partial contains small subunit ribosomal RNA, internal transcribed spacer 1, and 5.8S ribosomal RNA". The record is from RNAcentral.